UACAGAGGGUGCGAGCGUUAAUCGGAAUGACUGGGCGUAAAGGGCGCGUAGGCGGUUCGUUGUGUCGGCGGUGAAAGCCCCGGGCUUAACCUGGGAAUGGCCGUUGAAACUGGCGAACUGGAGUGUGGCAGAGGGGGGUGGAAUUCCGCGUGUAGCAGUGAAAUGCGUAGAGAUGCGGAGGAACACCGAUGGCGAAGGCAGCCCCCUGGGCUAACACUGACGCUCAGGCACGAAAGCGUGGGGAGCAAACAGG
RNAcentral lists this ribosomal RNA (253 nucleotides) under uncultured bacterium. RNAcentral describes it as "partial 16S ribosomal RNA". It matches the Rfam family "Bacterial small subunit ribosomal RNA", at positions 524 to 776 of the family's 1533-position model. The record is from RNAcentral.